UGGCUCUUUUCCUGGAGGAUUGACCC
This 26-nucleotide non-coding RNA is filed under the name Mus musculus (house mouse). Lineage: Eukaryota; Metazoa; Chordata; Mammalia; Rodentia; Muridae. The record is from RNAcentral.